UGACUGCCGGAUGGCCACGCCGCACUUCCGGUCCCCUCCAUGGUCACAGUCCCCGCCCCUUUCCUUCCACGUGGUUGCGAGUUCCUUCCAGCCUCCAGCUCCACCCCCAGACUGUGACCUCACGUGAAGAUCCCCAGACAAGCAGGCAGAAGAGUGUUUUCUCCUCUGGCCACCAAGCAGGCACCCUCUGCUUCCAGAGACUGCAUGUGAUGGACGGGUCCUCUGGGCUGCCACCCUCCUGUUAGCGGAUAGCGUGGAGGCAGAUGGAAAGAGCCAGCCGUCUGUGACGACCCCCUUCUGUGUCACCAGGCUUAGAGGAUGCUCGAGCACAUGGGGCUGAUGUCUGGACCAGGGACUGUGUGUUGGGCGUGAAUUCUAAAUAAAGCUGU
Budorcas taxicolor (takin) is the source of this 389-nucleotide long non-coding RNA. RefSeq lists it as uncharacterized. The record is from RefSeq and is a predicted model, not a curated record. Lineage: Eukaryota; Metazoa; Chordata; Mammalia; Artiodactyla; Bovidae. The transcript is spliced from 3 exons.